AUUGAACGCUGGCGGCAGGCCUAACACAUGCAAGUCGAGCGGAUGAAGGGAGCUUGCUCCUGGAUUCAGCGGCGGACGGGUGAGUAAUGCCUAGGAAUCUGCCUGGUAGUGGGGGAUAACGUCCGGAAACGGGCGCUAAUACCGCAUACGUCCUGAGGGAGAAAGUGGGGGAUCUUCGGACCUCACGCUAUCAGAUGAGCCUAGGUCGGAUUAGCUAGUUGGUGGGGUAAAGGCCUACCAAGGCGACGAUCCGUAACUGGUCUGAGAGGAUGAUCAGUCACACUGGAGCUGAGACACGGUCCAGACUCCUACGGGAGGCAGCAGUGGGGAAUAUUGGACAAUGGGCGAAAGCCUGAUCCAGCCAUGCCGCGUGUGUGAAGAAGGUCUUCGGAUUGUAAAGCACUUUAAGUUGGGAGGAAGGGCGGUAAGUUAAUACCUUGCUGUUUUGACGUUACCAACAGAAUAAGCACCGGCUAACUUCGUG
This 484-nucleotide ribosomal RNA is filed under the name uncultured bacterium. RNAcentral describes it as "partial 16S ribosomal RNA". It matches the Rfam family "Bacterial small subunit ribosomal RNA", at positions 30 to 507 of the family's 1533-position model. The record is from RNAcentral.